GACGAACGCUGGCGGCGUGCUUAACACAUGCAAGUCGAACGGUAAGGCCCUGCCUUUGUGGGGUGCUCGAGUGGCGAACGGGUGAGUAACACGUGAGUAACCUGCCCCUGACUUUGGGAUAACUUCAGGAAACUGGGGCUAAUACCGGAUAGGAGCUCCUGCUGCAUGGUGGGGGUUGGAAAGUUUUGGCGGUUGGGGAUGGACUCGCGGCUUAUCAGCUUGUUGGUGGGGUAAUGGCUUACCAAGGCGUUGACGGGUAGCCGGCCUGAGAGGGUGACCGGCCGCACUGGGACUGAGAUACGGCCCAGACUCCUACGGGAGGCAGCAGUGGGGAAUAUUGCACAAUGGGCGGAAGCCUGAUGCAGCAACGCCGCGUGCGGGAUGACGGCCUUCGGGUUGUAAACCGCUUUCGCCUGUGACGAAGCGUGAGUGACGGUAAUGGGUGAAGAAGCACCGGCUAACUACGUG
This 468-nucleotide ribosomal RNA is filed under the name uncultured bacterium. RNAcentral describes it as "partial 16S ribosomal RNA". It matches the Rfam family "Bacterial small subunit ribosomal RNA", at positions 28 to 507 of the family's 1533-position model. The record is from RNAcentral.